RNAcentral lists this unclassified non-coding RNA (378 nucleotides) under plant metagenome. Its description in RNAcentral is "partial contains 5.8S ribosomal RNA, internal transcribed spacer 2, and large subunit ribosomal RNA". The stretch from base 1 to 105 matches the Rfam family "5.8S ribosomal RNA", at positions 49 to 154 of the family's 154-position model. The record is from RNAcentral.
CGAAAUGCGAUAAGUAAUGUGAAUUGCAGAAUUCAGUGAAUCAUCGAAUCUUGAACGCACCUUGCGCUCCUUGGUAUUCCUUGGAGCAUGCCUGUUUGAGUAUCAUGAAAUCCUCAAAGUAAAUCUUUUGUUAACUCAAUUGGUUUCUACUUUGGUAUUGGAGGUCUUUGCAGCUUCACACCUGCUCCUCUUUGUUCAUUAGCUGGAUCUCAGUGUUAUGCUUGGUUCCACUCGGCGUGAUAAGUUAUCUAUCGCUGAGGACACUGUAAAAGGUGGCCAAGGUAAAUGCAGAUGAACCGCUUCUAAUAGUCCAUUGACUUGGACAAUACUUUUAUGAUCUGAACUCAAAUCAGGUAGGACUACCAGCUGAACUUAAGC